This 234-nucleotide long non-coding RNA is filed under the name Gossypium barbadense (sea-island cotton). RNAcentral describes it as "long non-coding RNA (GBAR_LNC015652)". The record is from RNAcentral. Lineage: Eukaryota; Viridiplantae; Streptophyta; Magnoliopsida; Malvales; Malvaceae.
CGGCAGUGGUAGGGCUGAUGUCGUUUUAAGAGCGAAUUCGGUGCUUAGCCGAUUUUUACAUUCAAUUACUAACUCAACUAAUGUUUCUGACUCAACUUUAACAUUCUUUUAUAGAGUGAUAUCUUCUUUGAAUUCAUUAGCAUUUUCUUGAUUAUCUUCCCAAGUCAGGGUUGCUAGGCUACUCAAGAUUUCACCUUCGCAAGGUGCUAUUGCAAUUGGGUUCUCCUCCUCAUU